GACUUCUAUGCAUUCAGACAGUUUGGCGCGAUAUGUCCAGGUUCCCCACCCCCAGUAGCACACUAUUGGACCUCGGCCUUGGCCUCCGCCUCUGCCUCCGAACAUUCCCAUCCGGCCGCCACCUCGGCCUCCACUGACAGUCUGCUGCAGCAUUGGCCCCGAGUUCUGUACGGCCCCUGAAGCUCCUACGUUAAAAACCAGCUUGCGACUACAGGUUGCUGCUGGAACUUGGGCGUCACACGAGUUGGAUGAAAAAAGCACUUCUUAGGCUUGUGGCCGAACUUCCCACAAUACGAACAAGGAGCUUUUGCCAGAACCAGAUUCGGACACUCACUAGGAUAGUGGCCAUAUCCUUGACACUUAAUGCACCAGAUCUCAGCUCUCUCAUGCACUGGCCGAGUUGGAGCUCCCAAACCCUGAACCAGACUCACUUGGAGUUCCGCCAUCUUCUUGUAACUGGAGAACUGAUGGUUGGACUGGAAUCAAAGGUGGAGCUGCUACUGCUCCAAGCACACCAAUCUGGUACUAUGCAAUAUUCGGUGAGAACAAGUUACCAUAUGUUGCUGCUGGAGCUGCAGCUGCAACAUUCCGUGACGCCAUCCAGGCCUGUUCCCAUGUUGCUGCAUGCUCCAUUGCUGCGUUCAAAUCUGCCGGUCUCUGCACCUUCACAUGGAACCCAAUCUCAAAUGGCAACCCAUUCAAGAACCAGCAGACUUGGUCAUCAGCAGUAGGCUGUGGAUCUUUCCUUGCGAGCAGCCUCUUGUAGCGAAGAACGUAAUUUUGCAAUGUCUCUCCAGGAUGGAAAGCAUUGAGAAAUGCCGUUUUGAUGUCUGCCCAGGCUGCAAAAGCUGUUGCUGCAUUCACCUGACCAUACCACUCUGUUGUUGCUCCCAGCAACAUUGCUGGAAACAAACAGACUCUCACAACAUCUCCUUGCUCCUGAUUUGCUGUGCUGAUAUUUUCGAAAGUAGUUACGUGAGCAUCUGGAUCGUCAGUCUGUGUAAACGUUAGAUACUUCAUCCUUGCGUUGGCAGGCUGUGCCAUUUGAGGAUUUACUGCUUGAGGUGUGGGCAAGGCUGGUUCAAAUGGCCCCCACUCCUCCCAAUUCAAACUUGAGUCCAAAGUCCUCGGACUAGUUUCAGGACUA
Long non-coding RNA from Selaginella moellendorffii, 1147 nucleotides. RefSeq lists it as uncharacterized. The transcript has 4 exons. Lineage: Eukaryota; Viridiplantae; Streptophyta; Lycopodiopsida; Selaginellales; Selaginellaceae. The record is from RefSeq and is a predicted model, not a curated record.